Molecule: long non-coding RNA, 22880 nt
Filed under: Ananas comosus (pineapple)
Lineage: Eukaryota; Viridiplantae; Streptophyta; Magnoliopsida; Poales; Bromeliaceae
Description: long non-coding RNA (ACOM_LNC044016)
Source: RNAcentral
UAUAUAUAUAUAUAUAUAUAUAUAUACAUACUAUGCUAUCGAAAGUAUAGAGGAUCUGGUGCUUUCGAUUUUUUGAUUCUUAGAUCAACUCCUUUAAUCAUUUCUUAUUUUUGAAUUAAUACUAUUAUUACCUUGUAAGAACCACUCAAUCCUAGGAGUAUUAUUUAAUCCUAGGGGGGAUCGCAAUCACCCCAACCAUACAAUUCUUAAUCAAAGGGUCAAAAAUUCGAAAAUAUCAAAUCCUUUAUAUUUUCAAUAGCAUAGUAGUUCUACAUUAUAUAUAUAUAUUAAAAAAUAUAUAUAUAUAUAAUAUAUUUUAAUAAUAUAUAGCCGGAGUGAAUAAUCUGAAUUUAGUUAAAAUUGGGCUAAUGUUGUUGGCCCAUAAAAACAAACCUAAUAGACAAAUAAAAGAGCGAAAUUUCACUAAAUUUAUACAUUUUUCCUUUCUUUCUUUCUUUUACAGAGCUUAAAUUUUCAAUAUGUUUCUCUCUUUCUCUUUUUCUGUCUCUCACCAUAAGUGGCCAAGCCGGAAGCCUUCCAAGUUACCAAGUAACAGCAUAUACCCGCCGUUGCCUACCUUGCUAUUAAUUGUAUACUUGAGAAAAUAUACAGAAUAUUUUUAACGUAAAAAAUUAUUAUUUAUAUAAAAUUUUAAUUUUAGUUAUAUAUGAUUGGAUAGUUUAAUCCAAUAUUUAUCUAUAUAAUUUAUUUAUUUUUGACUGCAUAAAUGAAAAUGAAUAAUAUGGAGAUUGAAGGCGGAAGAAAAGACAUAUGAAACUGAAAUGAUUAGAUAUUCAACUCAUAAAUUUUUUUUUUUUCAUAUUAUAAUACUAUAUUUUAUAUAAUUAUUUUGUACUUUGAACUAUUAGACAUAUUUUUGUAUCAAAUUAUAGAUAAUGUUCUAUACAAAUUAAACUAUUGAUCGUAUGAUGUUGAGAAUUUCAAGCGGCUCGUUUAGGGCUCGAGCUCGCUCGACUUGAAAUUAGGCUCGCUCGAGCUCGGCUCGAAUUAAUUUCAAUCCAAGCUUGAGCUUAAAUUUAGGCUCGAAAUUAAUUUCAAGCCGAAUUUGAGCUGAGGUAAGCUCGCUCGAGCUCGGCUCGUUUCCACCCCUACAUAUAGAACUAGGCUGGAAUACUAUUAAUAGUACCAAGUUAUUGGUGCUAUUGAAUUUUUAGCCUUUGGAUUGAGAAAUAUGCAGUUAGAAUGAUGUGGGCCCUCUAGGGUUGAGUGGGUGGUUGGUUGAAUAGUAUAAUCUAACGGGUAAAAAUAAUCAAAGGAGUUAAUCUAACGGCAGAAAACUUGAUAGCACCAAGUGUUUGGUGCUAUCGAUAGCAUAGCAGCCGGACUAUAUAUAUAUAUAUAUAUAUAUAUAUAUAUAUAUAGCUAGGCUACUAUACUAUCGGUAGUACGGAGCGCUCCGUGCUACCAAGUUGUUUUCGAUGAUGUGGCUUCCAAAUCGACGAUCGGCUCCGUUAGACUUGAUCUACACUAUUGAAAGUAUUUAGAAACUAAAUUUCAUAAUUUUUCGAUAUCAUUUACCUAUCAAACAAGUAGUCUAAAAUUGAACGGCUGAAAAUAAAAAUCUCAUAAAAAAUGAUGAUAAAAGAUUUAAAUUCAAGAUCAGAUAUACUGAUCUUACUCUAAAUAGUGAAAAGAAUUUUCUAUAAAAUUUUCAUCGCAUUUGGAUUGUUUCAUACCGUUAAACUCACAAACACACCACAUCGGCUAUUAAAAUUGUCAAUUUUGAGAUCUUUUGAUCACUAGUCAAAUGAUGUUCGAAAAAAUUUGAAAUUUAGUUUUCAAAUACUUUCAAUAGUGUAGAUCAGUCUAACGGAGCGAUCGUCGAUUUGAAAGCAUCAUCGAAAACAACUUGGUAGCACGCCGAGCGCUCGUGCUACGAUACAAUAGUAGCCCGGCGACUCUAUNNNNNNNNNNNNNNNNNNNNNNNNNAACUGCUAUCACACAUUAACUGCAUCUAGAGUGUCAUGCUCGCGACUGCCAAUUUUGGUCGGUUGCGGUGGUAUACGAACAGGAUACCGAACAAGAAGAACCUCUUCCUACCGCCCAAGGCUAACUAGGCUGGAAUUCUAAUCAAUAGCACUAAGUGUUGGUGGCUAUUAGUUUUUUAGACCUGAUUGAUAAAUGUCGGUUAGGAUGUAUGUGGGACCCUAGGGUUGAGUGCGGUGGGUGGUGAAUAGUAUAUAUAAUAUAUAUAUAUAUAUAUAUAUAUAUAUAUAUAUAUAUAUAUAUAUAGAACUACGUUGGAAUGCUUAUCAAUAGCACCAAAGUGUUAGUCUAAUUAGUUUAGUUCUUGCGAUUGAGAAAUGUGCGGUUUUAGGAUGACGUUGGACCCCUAGGUGUUGAGUAGGAGUGGUUGGUGAAUAGUAUAACUAACGGAGUAAAAAAUAAUUAAAAGGGUUAACAUAAUGGUUAGAAAAUUGAUAGAAACCAAAUACUUUGUGGCUAUCGAUAGCAUAGCACCGGACUAUAUAUAUAUAUAUAUAUAUAUAUAAUUGAGUUAGAAUACUUUUAGAAGCACCAAAGCCUGAUGCUGUAGUUUGUCUCGCCUUUGGAUUACUCCUGAUUACUACUAGUAUUAUGAUCAAAUACUAUUCUACCUACCACCAUCAUCUCAAACCUAAUAUCUCUUUAUACCAAUGGAGUUUAAAAACUCAAAAAGCACAACUAUUUGAGCUUUUGAGAAUAUUCUAGCCUCAACUAUUAUAUAUAUAAAUAUAUAAUAUAUUAUAUAUAUAUAUUAUAUAUAUAAUAUAUAUAUAUAUAUAAUGUAGAGCUACUAUGCUAUUGGAGCCAAAAACUAGGUUGGUGUUCAUUCUUUUAUGCCUUUAGAGUCAAACAUUCUACAGUUGAUGAUAGCGUCCCCUUACGUGAGUACUCUCCCAUAGGGUUGAGUGUCAUCCAUUGCUUCCGAUAGCAUAGUAGCUUCUAUACUAUAUAUAGUAUAUAUAUAUAUAGUAUAGAACUAAGCUACUAUAUAUUAAUUUAGCCAAAAAAACCCCAAGUCAUUUGGUGCUACCAAGUUUUAGGCCAUUGGAUAAGAGAGUGUGUUUAGGAUGUAUGGGCCCCCAUAGGGUUGAUUAGCGUGGUUGGUUGAAUAGUAUGAUUUAACGUCAUUGAAAAUGAUCCAAAGGGGUAGAUCUAACGCCGAAAAACUUUAGCACCAGUGCUUCGUUCUAUUAAUAGCAUAGUACCGGAGCUCUAUCAUAAUAUAUAUAUUAUAUAUAUAGUAUAUAUAUAUAUAUAUAUAUAUAUGGAUAGGAUUUGCAUUUAAAGCGCUCCAAAUUCGAUACAAUUGGAGUGAAAAACCCUGCCAGCAUGCAACAUUUACGUGUAGCACCAUUCCAAGGAGCUUUACGCGGAUUUAUGCAUUAAAUACAUUAUUUCCACAAUUGAGAUUCUUCGGUAAAGUCUCUGUCUCAACUUCGAGUCCGUGCCGUUUUGUUCAAAGUGUCAGAAUUUAGCGAGACUGUUAUCAGCGUUCCCCUCUGAGUAUAAUUUAUGUUUUUUGAACCAAUCCAUCACCAAAACUCAACGUUUCGCAAUAAAUGAUGCUUCUCGGGAAGUGCUCCAUUUCCAACAAAUUUCUAAUAUGCAAUUUAAACCCUCCAAACUCAAUAUUUCCCUUCCAAUAAUUCACCAGUGCGAUAAUUCACACAAUGUGCUACCCUUGAGUUUCGUGCAAUUCAGUAUAUAUGAAAUGCUCAUACCUUUUCCAUUAAAACCCAAAUUCCGCAAAGGUCAUAUAUGAUGAGCAGCCAGAUUUCUCGAGACCGUACAUCGAACAUAAUAAUCUGCCUACACCAUGGCAUCGGCUAUAAGUUAGUACAGUUGAAAAAAGCUAUUGAAUUACUAGAACAGAGGUCGGUACCGACAGAAGCCAUCUACACUCAACGGCCCUAUUUCGAAAAUACGAGUUAGUAUUCAUUUUAAGGUGAAAAAGUAAAAUCACGUAUUAAAAUCUUUAUUUUAAAUAUUUUUGCCUGAAAUUUAUUCGGACUAGUUUAAAAUUAAAAUACACACGACAAACAGCUAAACAGAUGUCAAAUUUUUAUAGGGAGAAAAUUCAAUCUCACAACUCAUUAGGAAUAUUCCUACUCUAUUAUUAUUAGUUACUUCUUACUUUCUUUUUAUUUGCGUAUGAAUGAUGAUGGCUACGAACAUACGAAAAACAUGAUUGCGUGAUUAUAUCUUCUAAUAGUUGACAAUGACAUUUUUAAUAGAAAGCUUCUAUUAUAUAUGAUUGACAUAUACCGUGUGGAAUAAUCGGGGGGCGGUUAAGCAAGGCCAUGUUGCCUGCUUAAUGACUUGAAUAUCCUUCAUGCCAUAUCUAUGCUUAUAUUAUAAUCAUAUUUUACUUGAAUAAUAUUAUUUUAUGAUUAUUUGUUAUAUUUCUGUAUUUAUGAAGGCCAAUGUUCCUCUUUAAUACAGUAUACCUUUCAUAUCUAUGCAUAUAUUAUAAUUAAUAUUUCUACUUGAAAAUAUGUUUAUGAUUUAUUUUGUGUAAUUUUCUUAUUUUAUGAAUCAGAUAAGCUUAACAAAUUAUAGCACAAGCUGCUUAAUAUAGCCCACCUCCAAGAUAUAAUUAAUAAACGACUUAAAAUAGUCAAUUGAAUUUAAUAAACUAGACUAGAAUAUCAUCGAAAAUUAAUAAACUAUUGACUAAAAGGCCAUCGAAUUUAUAAUUGGCAUAGAAAUAGUCAAUCUAAUUAUUCAUAUCUCACUUUGAAAAAUAAAAAAAACUACAGAUUGUCACAAUUAUAGCCCCCACCUAAGAAGAUACAUUAAUAAAAAAUUGUACUAAGAAUAGCCAAUCGAAAUAAAUAACAGGACUAGAACAGUCAUCGAAUUUAAUAAGUUGAAUUAGAAUAGUCAAUUUAUUAUCAUAUCAGUUUGAAAAAAAAAAAAAAUUACAAGACUCCCCGAAAUUAUAGGAGAGAGAAUAAACAUGAGCUAUAUGCAAACAAUUGAAUAUUCAUGAUUUGCGUUGUCUCAUUUGGUCUGUGUGUAGUCCUUCGUUUAAUCCGACUCCAAUAGGUCAUCUCUUACAGGAAAGUUUCCUCGUCCUCGAGAAUACACAUCUAUGAAACUUAUAUUGAAGCUACAAUAUUUUUUGCCACGUGGCAUGUUUCACCUGCCCCACUCCUCUAAUUAUAAUGCAAGGUGCAAUAUUUAAUUAUAUACAACUUUAAAUCCAACUUUAAAUCAAACCACCUUCUCUUCUUCUAACUUCAAUCCUUCACCUUCCCAACUCCUCUAAUUGAUUGCAAAAGCGCGAACAUUUAAUUGCAGCACCAUAUUAAUAUUCUAUUUUCAAUGAGUAGUUUUAUAACUUUAUACCACUCCCUCCUCUUAUUAAUGUUCCCGCCCUUCUCUUUUGUAACUCUUUUGCAUGAUCAUAAAAACAAGUAUAUGAUCGUUUAAUCUCCCACUCCACACUCAUUCUCUCUCUGUUCUCUCACUGUGUUAGUGAAAGAAGAAGAAAAAGAAGAAAAAAAAAGACAGAGCUCUGAAGAACAUUGUCUCUUUCGAGAAGAUCAUUUCCUGCGAAGCCAAAGCCGCGCAUCCAUAUAAGCUGCCAGCUAACCAGUCCGUGCGGGAGCCUUUACUCGCUAUAUGAAUUUAGUCAUGCAAAUGACUGUGCUUAAUAUGAUAUUAGUCUUGCCUAUAUUAUCAAUAAACCUGUAAAUAUAAUUUUCAUUAAAAUUUUCAAAUUUUACUUCUAUUAUUUACCCGCCCUGGCCACGCGCUGGUCUUUACACUAGUUAUAUUAUAUUCUACCUAUAGCAUAUGAGAUCGUUAAGUAUCUAAUAAGAGAGAAUGCCUAUUUGCACAGUUAAAAGUUGGAUAUAAAUCUUCACAUGCCAACCAUCUAAGAGUUUAACAGUAGUUUUUUAUAUUUAAUAUUAGAAUAUUGAUUGAUAAAGUAGUGUGAAAAAAACUUGACCCUUCUUAUUAUAAAGGAGAAAAAUUUACACCAACUUUUGGCUGUAAAUAUAGCUAGCAUUGUGCUCAAUACAUAAGAAUAACUAUAAUAUUUUAUAUUAAAAUAGUAUUUUAGCAAAUUAGAUUUAAUAAAAUUAAGGCAAUAUAGAAAGUUUUUAAUUAUCAUAUAUUAUUUCUAUAUCAAAUGACUAUCAACGUGAGUUACGACCUUUUGACUAAUUCACAAUGGUUGUGAACUAUCCAGACAAGACUGUUUAAAUCCUCACAUCUUUAAUUAAUGACUGGGGAUACCACAGCUUUCGGUGAGAUAAAAAUCGUGAACACCCCCACUUUAGCACAUUAGGAAAUAGGCUCUCAACUUUCUUUUUUGUGGAUUGAGAUUUCUCUAAUAAGUAUUUAUCUAAAUACAUUAAUUUUUUUUUUUUCAAAAUCAUAAGUAAUUUGAUCAAAUUCAAUAGGUUCGAUUAAUUUUUACUAAUAAACUAGAAAAAAAACAUUAAAUAUAUAGAUAAUAUUAUCCUUAAGUUUUUUUUAAAAAAAAAUAAUCAACUUCACUAUGCCCCUAAGUUAAAAGACUAAAAUAAAAAAAGGAAAGUUAAAACAGCCUCAGUCAAAUAAGUUGAAAUUCGACAUGCACCAGUGUUACACUGUAAAACUCAUGAACCAACAUAAUAUGUAAUUAUUAAUAUUCUUUAAAUUGAAAUUGUUAAUUUACUUGAUGUGAUCUAAAAACCUAAGAGCUUAUGUAUCAAAAAUUGGUUCAUUUAAAGAUCUUAUUCUAUGCCUUAAGUGUUUAAAAAAUCGUGAUAUGAAUGAGAAUUAUUAUUUAAUCUAUAAAAAAUAUUGUUCAAAAUGUAAGUUUCAGUAGAUGAUCUAUUAUUGAGCUUUAGCGGCGCCAUGCUGUGUAUGAGAGAGACCUUAUGAUGAGAAAUGCCACUUGUAAGCUAAAGUUAGGCGUAAAGGAUUUUGCCCAACUUAUUCAAGAAUUCACACAUUUGAAUUUGUAAUAUUAAAAAUUUAAAUGUUGAUAAAAUUACUGUGAAAGAAAUUAGUCUUGAACAGCUGAGAAUAUAAAAUUAUAUGUAAAAACAUUAUAUAACUUUCUGAAUUAAAACCAUUUAAUUUAGCUACUCCAUCUUACUAAAUUUAAUUUUACUAUCGAAUUUUUAAAGUUUGUUGAUUUUAGUCGAUCAAUGACACUUUGACUUUAAAUCUUGAUGUAUCCGUUACCCUUUAUAGCGUUAGUUAGUAUCUUUUUAUACAUUUUCGAUCGUAAAUAAUAAAUUUUACUAAAAUAAGUAGUUAGCUCAAAUUUUGAAGAUUAUAAAUGUUGUGACUAACUCAAAUUAAAUGAAUUGAGAGAUUAGACAGUAAAAUCAAAUUUUGAAAGAUACGAAGCAAGUAGCAAAUCAAAAAUAAUCUAAGUUUUAAAAUAAAUUCGUUUGUUUUUUCACCAAAUAUACUCUCGCUGGUGUAGAUAUUAUACUGGCCUUCUUCGAAAUAAAAUACUCUCUUUUGUUUAAACUUCUAAGAAAUAAUUUUUUUGGGUGUUUAUACAUACACCAAAAAAAAAAAAAAAAAAAAAAAAAAAAAAAAAUCUGUAGUUGUCGAAUGAGUCAAAGCGAUUAUCCAACAGCAAUAAUGGUCUCCUGGCGCCUCUUAUUCAAGGGCCCCCUUCCGUCUAUAUAAACACCAAUGUAUAGAGUGCCACCCCCCCAACAAGGCUGAAAUUAACAAAUGGGUUGAAAAACAAAAAAAGCAAACUAAAAGGAACUAUGAGUGUAAAGAAAAACAAUCAUCCCCACCCCGAAUAGUCGUUUCUGUGGGACUACUUGUGCUCUGCUCCGGGCAUUGAGCUCACAUCUGCAUCAGUCGCAUUGGCCGGGAUGCCUGGAACGAUGGGCGACGUCGAAUCCCUAUCCGUCGGCAUCGGGCCGGAACUGGCUCGAUGGAGGUUACACUCAACUGGCACCCUUAGACAAAGCCACUCCACAAGCUUCGCUGAACCAGCAUGAUAUCUGAUGCAUUUCCUAUCAUUGGCCUCGCGCCGUUGUUGCUGCUAUGUGUAUCGAAGCCCAAUGCUACAAUGGCCACUCGGCCAGCAAUGUGACUAUACAACGACUGGCGAGAUGAACGCCUUUGGCGUCACCAUACGUUCUCUAGGCACGCCUCAACAAGUUUAUCACCAUCGGCUGUAUGACCGCUGGCCUACCUCAUAAGGAGCAACACGCCAAAUAGGCUAUGGCGAAUAGUAGCUAUUGUCGCGGCGUGUGUAUCAAUGUGCAGAGGAGGGACGACUUGAAACAAUGGCUCGUGCCAGCUGGCAAUCGGAUGGCUUGCCCCAGACUGCCAUCCGCGAAGGGAAUGUGUGCAGCUACCAGAGUUGUGGUGUUGCGUCGAAAACUAUUCACUCGCACAACACAUACAAUUUGAGCCGGGCAACUAGCCGCCGCGUGGUGGAUGAACGCGCCUUCAAUUUCAGCACCUCCUACAUCAGCUACGCGAUGAGCUGUACGGAGAACUGCUGGCCGUUGGUGAUCAAUCGGGCCGUAAGAAACAAAGACGUGCUGGGAACCGCGCGAACAUGAACUUCCUACUGCAUGCCGUAGAGGAGAACAGCACGCUGCCUAGAUCUCCGCCAGACGGGCCCGCUAUGCUCUGUAAUUGCUUCCGAGGGUUAUCAAGCACACCCUUAUCUACCCCACGGGUGCCAGGUUGCAUUCUCUCUCUCUCUCUCUCUCUCUCCUCCUCUCUCUCGUUACAAACAUCUUUCUAUUAUUUUGUGGAUGCUGUGAGAAAGUUUUUCUGGCUCGGAUAGUUAAGAGCAUAUAUAAGAUUAUAAAUUAACCAUCUUUAAAUGUUAUAAAUAAAUAUUAUUUUGAUACUGAUAUACAUUAUAUUUAUAUUAGGCGAUUCAUACGUCAAUCAGUUAAAAAGGGGUAUUUAAUGUGAAUUAAAAUAAUGGUAUCGAAAAAUUCUAAUAAUAAUAAUUAAUUAUGAUAUUUGAAAUAUUUUUGCAAUGGUAGCAUAGUGUUGGAUUUGGUAUAUUUAAUUAUUAGUACUUAGAGCGAAUACAUGUGCCAAAAGGUAGGGCCUCCAAAAAAAGAGGGGUGAUUUUUGAUGAGAAGAGUGAACGCAAGCUGUAUGUUAAAAAACUAUAUAUAUACACACAAAGUGAAUAGUUUUUUUUUUUUUUUAAUACAAAAUAGGUUAAUUAAUCUUUCUUAAAAAACAAUAGUAGUCCUCUUUGAAAUAUAAUUUGAAAAGUAAACUGCACAGAUCAAAUUGCCCCACGCCAGUUAAAUCUCUGCGUCUAAACUCAAUUUUGAGACUUGGAUCCUUGAUGAACAUUGUGUGAGCGGGAAUGGAUAAUCGACAAGUAAUCUAAAUUUAAGUUAAUUUUUUCUUUGGGAAUUUUGUGAUAUGUGAACAGAUAUUGAUGACGUGUGCAUAACAAGGAUGGGUCCUCCAUGCUCGGGAUUCACAAAUCGACAAGUGGUCUGCGAUGCAGUCCAUGCAACGGAGUCACAUGCGACCUUAUAAGGAACUGCUACGCGCGAAAAUCUCUCAGCGGCAGCCGAAGCUAGGUUAUAGGGAGCUCUUCCACCUUUUUUGGCAAGGCGUUUAUUUGGUCUUGAGUAUAGUAAAAAUUAAUUUAUUUAAGAAUAAAAUAAAGUUCAGAUUUAACAGCAAGAGAUUAAAUUAAUUUUGUAUUUUGAUAAAAGUUAAAUGUGUUCCGGCAGAGCAAUAAAAAAAUAUAACGUAUGGAUAGAAAGUAUGGAAUAUAAGGAAAAAUGAUGAUAGUUAAAUACAAAAAAAUGAUUAUACUCCUCAUUUAAAUUGAAUUUGAAUUAAUUAAUUUAAAUUUUAUAUUUUAUAUUUUAAAUUUAAAUUUAUAAAAAUCAUUUUAAUUUUAAAAAUCAUAAAUUUAAAUUAAAAAUAUAAAAUAUAAAGAUAUUUAAAUUUAAAAAAUUUAACAUCUAAAAUUUAAAAUUUAAAAAUUAAAAAUUUAAAAAAUUUUUAAUUUAAUUUUUAUAAUUAAUUUUAAAUUUUAUAAUAAAUUUAAAAUUUACCUCUUGUUCCUUGGAUACAACUUGCUUUAGAACAAGCUUGUUCUAGGUAGCGGUGAAACUAUUGGUUCGCCACCAAAAAAAAUUAGUAUUAGGAUAUAAGGAGGCGAACCACAAGAAGACUAUUCCUUCUUAUAUGGCGCCAUCCAAAGUUAGUUUUGUUCGCACGAGUUGACACUGAAAAUGCUUUCUUUUUUACAAUCGAUCAUCCAAGAUUUAUAGAAAGCAAGACUUUUUCAGUGAUUGGGCAAGUGAUCGUCUCUAGGCUGUUUCGCGGAGUCGAAAAAUAUUGUAUGCCUCCAACGCCAUUAAAUUAAAUUUUUUAAAUAGGCAACUGUUAUUAAAUUUUAAUGUGGGAAUAUUAUGCAACCUAUUCCUCCAACUAAUAUAUUAAAUUGGCGUCAAAGCUUUAAAAAUGUUUAAAUCUUAGUCGUCAAGCAAAUGUUUUAGCUCGCUAGAAAGACAAAGGGAUUCUAUUUAGUUACUCAUAUCAUGCUCCUAAACUGUUAGUCGUUGUAGCAUAGAAAGAGAUAUUGCAAAGUCUAUAAAAAUAAUAUGGAAACUCUAUAAAAGAUUCGCAUUAGUAUAAUAUAAGUCUAACAUGUGAAGGAAUGGGAGGAUUAAUUAUCCCGUAAUAAAGGCUGACUUUUGAGUCCAAUGUAAGACGCAGUAUUGGACUUAGAAAUAGUUAAUUUAAUUUGAAUGUCAUGUUGGAAUUUUUAUAUAUGUAAUUUAUAUGAGAAGGACACUUGGGUGGGACUCAGUAUGGACCGAUCAUUUUAAAAAGUUUGAGCUCUUUUGAAACAAAAUCAAACUUCACAAACUAAAUAAGUCAUGCCAAUAUUGCAGGAAUUGAUAGUUAAUUAACUCGUUCAUAUAGCCCUUAUGCUCGCUAUUAUUGCUUAAUUUGAUGCUGUGAGUCUAUAUCAAAUGCAGCAUUUGCAUCAGCCUCGUCUUAUUAUUUAUUAUCAUGUUAUGUAUUAUGUUAAUUGAAGACCGAAGGUCUGGUAUAAAAUUAAGGAGGAGAACUUCCAACAAUCAUGGAGGCUGGCUACUAUUGGAAGAAAUCAGAAAUUAGCCAUAGGCGCUUGCAUUUAAGAGUGUUAAGACAAAAGGCUCGAACAGCGACGGAAUAAGUUUCUCAUAGACAAACACAUAGGCAUGGAGCUAUGGCAGCAGUAUAAUAAGAAUCUCAACAGCAAUCAUGUAGUCGUUAGCAAUAAAGCAGAGCUUAAAUUAUAUAAUAGAGAGCAAAGAAAGAAUUCGGAAAAGAGAUGCUUAUUCUUUCGCUCGAGGUAAGCCAUAGAAACAUAGUUCACCUCUCUCGGAUUGUUUUAAGGUGAAGUUCCAAUGGCUGGGUGUAUGGAAUUAUUUCGCAAUGGCGAACCUUAUUCCAGUUUUGAUUCAUGGCAACGGUCGGUAAAUCUUAUAAAUCUUUGAGAGAGCUCGCUUUGAAAAUAGCUCUCCCGAUGUCUGCGGAAGCACUUGGCAUACUUGCAUUCGUCAUGCGCGCCCUCCGAUAAUUCAUGAAUGUUUAAGUCUCGCAAAACACCUUUUGAUGAUCAUUAAUGCCAAGGUCUCUGAUUCGAGCUUCUAAUGCUCGUCCUAGGGAUAAGACACAGUUUGUCAGCAUUGGUUGCAAGGUGAGCUUGCGUUAUUAGACCAGAAACGCCUACAAACAUGGUUGUUGAUUGAUAAAAGCCGAUUUUAUAGUUUGAGUGGUUCUUUUGGAUGCUCUCACCGCCGUAAGAAAGCAUUCGUCUUUGAACGAAAAUGAAAAGAGAGAUGAGCCUUUCAUCAUCCUUCUUAUCUGCUUAUGAGGAGGGUCGCUCAGCGAACUUCUUGAUGAUCAGAUUAAGUAUAGAUGAAGAUGUGAAAGCGAUUAAGAAAUUGCAUGUACUAGCAAAAGCUUGUCUUUAAAUGUCAAGGCGAAUGACAGACCCUCAUGAAAGAGUAGCAGAGGAACUUGACAGACUCAAAAAAUGGAAGCCAACAUACCUGGGAAGCAAGCAUAACACAUGCAGAUAUGAAAGUGUGCUUUGACAAUCUCUCAAGCUACAGCCGAGAAGAAAAACACCCGGUUUUAAUUUAGAAGAAAGAAAGCUAUGCAUAAGCAUAACCUGACCUUGAUGGCUAUAUUAGUAUAAUAUAUAUAUAUGAGAGAGAGAGAGACAGGAGAGAUGAGAGAGAGACGAGAAGAAAAGAGAUGAGAGAGAGGAGAGAGAGAGAUAGAGAGAUGAGAGAGAUAAGAGAGAGAGGAGAGAGAGAAUUGUGCUUCUAUGCUUUACAAUAAAAUACGCAGAGUUAUUGGUGCCUGGUAGAGUUUAUUGUCGCAUUGAUUAAGAAUGUGGUCUAGAAUGAUGUGGAGCCCCUAUGGGUUGAGUGGUUGGUUGAUUGAAUAGUAUGAUAGCCGGAUGGAAAUAGAUCAAAAGGGUAAUCUAAACAGUAAAAAUUUACAAGGCACCAAGUGCUUUGUACGUUUAGCCAGCACUACCUGACUCAUAUAUUAUAUAUAGAUAUAUAUAUUAUAUAUAGAGAGAGAGAGAGGAGAGAGACGAAGAGAGAAGAGAGAGUCUGGCUUGUAUAUUUGUUAAUAAGCACGAUGAUCUGCGCGUGCUAAUCAAGUCAUUUUUGGCUGUUCGGUACUUUCGAAGUCGACAAUCCGCUCGUUAGGCUUGACUAAGUAUUGGGAAGUUAGUUAGAAAAUAAAUUUUGUGAUUUUAUUAUCCAUUUACUAUAGUGGGUCGAACGGUACUCAAAGAUCAUAUAAGCAUGUAAAAUUUACACGAAAGUGAUUAUAUGAUAUCUAAAUUUUUAAUAAAGAAUUAGUCUUAUUUAUACUAGUACAAAAAAAUAAUUAAAAUAUAAUCUUAUUAAUUGUUGGCCCCUUUGAUCACUAGUAAUUGCUAUCGAAAAAUUAUAAAUUUAUUUUCUAGAUAUUUUCAAAAUAUAUUUAGAUCAAUUUAAACGAGGCCCAAUGUCGAGUCAGUGUAGGUCGAGCAUAAAUCGAAAUGACUUGAACAUGGAGUAGGCCCCCCCCGCCCGCCCGCCCGACCGUUCUAAUAAAAGCACCAAAGCUAACUCUCUCUCGCUCGUAGUAUUUACUAUCUAGUUUCUAGCCCUUGCAUGUAUUAUUCACCCGCCCUCUCUACAUCCAAGACAUAUAAGGCGCUCGGGACUAUAUAUGAGUGAACAUUAUUCCUUAUUUAGUAUCUAUAUAUUUAAACUCUAGACAUUUAAAUCUUGAACUUCUAGAUGAAAUGCAAGAAAUUCAUCUUUUGGUAUCUUCCUAUCUUCUUAGAUUAACGUGAAUUUGUUAAGCCAUAUGCGAUUGCAUGUAACUUCGGGUAGUAAUAAAUAAAAGUUGUGGUUGUUGUUGGCAAAAUAUUCUUAAAUCAUAUUGUAUUUUGCUCUCCUCUAAUGACUUCACAUAAGAACACCACGUUUGGCAUUCUCUUAUGAGUGAAAAAGGCUUUGUUGACCCACACCUUUGCAUUAAACCACAAUGAAAUUAAUCAGCCAAAGAGUAGACAAAUAAACAAAAAAACCUCAAAUCUCACUCACGCCUAAUAGAACAAUCAAUUCAUUGAGAAUGAAGCUAUAGCUAGGCAUCACCAAUUGCUUACAAUAUCAACAACAAAUUUCUAUCUACUACGUAGGCUUUGCCUCUCUCACCUACAAUGUUGGAGGAAAAUCCAAAAUCUCUAUUAUAAAAAAAAACAAAGUAUUUUUAUUAUAUUAUUUAUUUUAUUUAACUUAUUUUUAUUUAUUAUCAUAUUCUUACGUUUGUCCCGUCGUGGCGGCCCGCUUUAUGACGCACCCCCUUCCCUCGUGCAUGGCAUAGUGUGCUCUGUUAGUUAAUUCUGGCGUACUAUACGUGAAUUAUUCAAAAAAAAACGCAAACCAUAUAUAAAAUACUCGUUUCGCCGAAAUUUUCACAAAAUUCAGAAUAAACGCAUUUUUUCCCAUGCUCAGAGAAUUACAUGAUCAAAUCGGGCAUUCUCACCAAUUAUAAUUCUGAAAAAUGCGGAUUAGCACUCUGAAAAUAUGAAAUUUUCGAAAAAAAAAAUAGAUUGACUGCUGCGGAAAGGAGAAUUUUCGAAUCAUGGCAUGGCGCAUAGACCACCGCUCUGCGAGUCCGUGCACUCUUCUCGUGAGGCGUAGCUGAGGCAAUCUGGCCCGUUUCGACUUUGGUGAAAAAGAAAUAAUGGAGACCGAAGCAAAAAGGAGAAGUGAGGAAGAAAAGAAAAAAAAAAGCGGAACAAGAGAAGAAGAAUCCGGUGUGAGGGUUUGGGAUGGCGGGUCCAGGAGUGUAGGGGUUCGAAUGGCGGGCGUCACGAGGGCUGCACUCAGUCUAUCGUGACGCGUGCAGGAGUGAGAGGUCACGGUGGCCUCUACUGCUCUGGCGACUGCCUUUGUUGCGUGAGAUCGUGACUCUCUCUCUCUCUCAUCAUGUAUAUAUUAUACUAGUAAAUGAGCGUGCAAAUGCACAUAAUAUUAUUAGAAAACAUUAUAUAAUUUUUUUAAAUUAUUUUUAAUUAAGGCAUAUUUAUAUGAUUUUCAAAUAUGUAUCUAAAAAAAUUUAAAAUAAUAAAUCACGCUAUUGAGAAAGAUAUGCUUUAAAUGAUAAAUAAUAAAAUAAUCUCUAAUGGCAAAAAUUAUUUAUUGAAUUAAAUAGACAAAAUAAAAUCUGGUUAGGAAAAGUAAAAUUUUGAAAUUAAUAUCGAAAAUAUAAAAUCCUGUUAUCUUAGAAAAGAAAAUAUUUUUGAAAUAAAUAGUUAAUAUCUAAAAAGAUAUUGUAAAAUAAAAUAGGAAAAUAUCUUUUUAGGAUUUCACACCGUAAUCUGUUAUAGUAAAAUCUUACUUUUGAAAUUAAAUAGAAAAAUUAUAUUUUAGGAGUUUACAAUCAGUAAUCCUGAAUUAUAGAGAAGCUUACGUAGUUCAUUGCUGUUGCUAUUUAUAUUUUUAUUCUGUAUAUUUAAAUUUUUGUACGGAAAGAGAAAAUGGACGCUAAUUUUUCGCCGAAAAAUGGUCUAUGUCGACAGACCGCAAAUUUGAAUAUACGUGUUUAUAAUAUAGUAAGUAUAGAUAAUAUUAUUCUAUAUUAAUUUAUUUUAUAUUUAUAGAAAUCAUAAAUUAUUUAUAAUACAGUAUAAUCUAAAAAAAAUCAAUUUAAUAGACGAAUUUUUAUUCGCAAAUUUUUAGAUCGAUAAAUAUACAAAUUCUCAAAAGUUAUAAAUCGCAUACACGAAUUAUUGACGAAUCAAUUUUAAUAACUAUAUUUUUCAAGCAAAUUUAAAAAUUAAGAUACGAAUUUUAUUCGUUAUUUAUCCAUACCGAAUUUAUAUCUGUACUCGAAUUAACUAACUAUGAUAGGCGUGCAACGUUGUUGGCCAACAUUCCACUUAUCUCACCUCUUGCUUAUAAAUAGUAACUGCCACUGUCAUGGGUCUAAUACACAUACCAAGAGAUGCUUUGUUUGAUAUAGAAAAGAAAGAAAAAUUAAAGAAUGAACCUCUGUUAUUUUAAUUUUUUUCUAUUGUUUUGAUAUUUGGCUUGAUCUUUUUUACACGCGAUGUUUACAAGAUCUCCUCAAUUGUUCUUCACGAGUGCUCGCAGAAGGAGAUUCCGUCGAACCUUGGCAGGCGUGGUUUUCUCGUUUAAUCCUAUAUUAAUGAAGCGGAACUACGCCUUAGGACAAUGCUAUGCACGCUUCAGAUAAUUAUUCUUGGGAAGAUCUUCGCACAAUUUUUGGGAUUUAGGAUAAUCUGUAAGUUUAAUUUAUUUAUAUUAUUACAAAAUUAUUAGAUUUUAAGCCACAAUCAAAUUUUCAGUCGCGGUAUUUUUUCAACAUUACAAAACUUAGGCAGCGAAAUAUCUAUCGGCUAAUCAUAUAAUAGAUAAAAGAUUGGCCGGCUGGAAGAGCUUGACCUCCUUUCAUCGGAGUUGGCCUUAGCUUUAGCUAAUAUCCGCGUCUUAAUUGGCCUUCAUGCCUUUUCAUUCACCAGGCUUGGUUGGAGCAACGAAUAUUCUAACUCUUCUCAUAUUUCAACAGAAUGACUGUACGAAAUGAAAAAAGCUACAACAACUCACGUUUCAAGAAUUUUUUCCAGAUUUUUAUUAUGGCCUCUACCGUCUAAAUGCUGCAAUUGUUUAGCUUGGCUUGCUUCCAUGAAGUGGAGUGGCUAGUGGAACCUCCCCUUGUUUUGCGUCGUUGAACUGAACAGCCCAAGAAUAGAAACAAAUUCUAAAACUUCAGAACUAAAGAUGGCAAAUGCUAAACUCUAGGGGCUGAUGCAUACAAUGUCGGUGGACUCGAUGUGAUUGGAUGUUCUCCGGUCAGUUUCAGCAAACUGAUUCCUGGCAUGUAGGGUGUUAAACACAACAAAUUCAAUCUUUAUUGGAAGACCGCGCCGCCGAGUCUUCAUGUGAGUGACUGACUGUUGUGAAUAGAUACUAAACGUGAUAAUUUAAAAGAAAAGGGGUUGGCUUGGACGGAAUCAUGGCAAUCUGUGCUAAGAAGAAAAUAGAUAUUUAGGACAUAAACCAUCUUCUUCGAGUUGCAGAGCUGGAACAAUCAUAAAAGAGAGAAAAAAUAAAAAAGAUAAAUACAGUAAAAUAGAUUACUAACUAAAGAGAAAAUUGAUGCUGUACUUCGAUCUACACAAAUAGUUUCAAUCCAACCCUUUUUUAUAUCUUAUCGUCUUAUAUAAACUUAAUUAGAAGCUAAUACUGCCUUACGCACCAUACACACAGCACAAUGCCAACUCUUCAUGCAUCUCCAGCCUCACAUUAUCUAGCAUAUGGCCGUAGAAUAUACAAUAAUGUGCCUUUACAUAAGAAGCCUACAGUAAACAUAUUCAAUUCUAAUAUAAUCUAAAUAAAUCUUAUUCAACAUAAUUUUAUAAUUCAUUUAAUUUUUAUAGAUUUAAAAUUUAUUCGUAAUUUAACCAAAAUCCUAACUCAAUCACUGCAGCGGUCAUCCAUUAGGCAGCAAUUUGAUUACCUGCCUAAAUAGUCCAAAAAAGCUACGCGUAAACUAUUUUGUAAAACCAAUUCAGAAAAUGAGAAACAAUUUAUUUAUUUAUUAUUUUUUUUUAAUGUUUUAAGAAAGAGUAGACUAGCUACCUGCUUCAUUCAUUCGAAAAUAAACUAGGUCAGAAUAAACAGUUGAAAGACAGCAAUAGGGCGUUCCACAAUUUAUUAUAUGUUUAAUUUAGAUUCUAUACAAUCUGCAUGAUAACACUAAUAUAUAUUCCAUGUAUAUACAAUGCCACUUUGAAACCCUAGUAUGUACACAUCACAUGUAUCUAUUUUAGCACACAAAACCUCUGUCAUCACAUCCUUUAGCCCUAUUAAUGUUCAUGAAGGGGCAGAGAGUAAAGUGUCCCUCCAGCUCAUCAGCUCCUGCUCUGAAGCCUUCGACAUCUUGUUGCUCUUACCUCACCGCACACCUCCCUGCACAGCCUUCGCCCGCCUGACCGGUGCCGCGCUCCUCCCGCCACUUCUCUAGCCAGCGUCGCCACGUGCUCCACCUCAUCCUGUAGCCGCCAGGCCAACAGUCGGCUGACGGUAUGCCAAAUCCCUGUUCAGAUAUGUACCCCUUGCUGCCACGCUCGAGCCUGGAGCUAACCCGCACGGACCACUCCGCGAAGACAUUUAGACCGGAAAAGCGCGGGUAGAGGCUACUAAAAGCCAGUCAACGCAAUGCAGCAAGCGAUCAAUCGCGCCGAUACUGCCGUCCGAGGCUGUAUAAUGAUAAAGAGAAACGAAUGCUCGCUUAGCCAGUGUGCGAGGCCGCAGCUGGCUUUCUGCCUUCUUGCGCCGCUUGCCCGAGCUGGGUUGAGCAGAUCGCCGCGGAGCGCCCUUGCACCAUGGCGGAAUUGUCGUGAGACGAAGCUAGCAAAAUAAAUGGAUCUGAACGUCUUGAAAGCCUCCGGCAAGUACUUCUAUCAAUGGCUGGCAUCGCUAUGCCGGAGGGGGGUUAUCGAGACAGAGCAUGAGCACGGCCUUGAACGGGCGGUAUGGGCGCGUAUCCGUCAACUUGUCCUUAAACGAUGAGGCUGAAGAGGAGGGAGGCGUUCGCCAGUUUCGGAAGUAGUAUUCGGACGAGGAGAUUGAAGUGGGAUUCGAGGUAACAAUGCUUUCGCGCCAAUCGGCAGAAUUUCAGUGAUUGUAGCUUGGUCAGGGUCCGAGCAAUGGCUCCGCGUAGAGCGGAGAAGCGGAGGCGGCGGCCGCAUGCUGGGCUGCCUGCUGCUGCUCGCUGCUGCCCUCAUGCUCGGUUUAAGCAGGGCGGCACCCGUAGGUGUCUAAAGGCGUGAGAUCCAGCACGCGGCCCCGAACGUCGUUUAGGACUCGUGCGGAACGCAGCUUCGCAUACUCUCGCGAGUUUAAGCUCGUCGAAGCGAUCGAAUGACGACCCUCGACUGCUGAUUCAAACAAAACAAUGCAUGUAUAUAUGACGUAUAAAUUAGUGAGACAGUAAUCCAUAUUUUUUGUCUUAUGAAAUGUACAUAAUGGGUGGUAUUACUUUCUUAUUAGGCUUGGUGUUUGCAUCUAGGCUAAAAAUGUUGAACUUCAUACACAAUUUCCCCUCCUAUUUUUUGAUGCCCGAAUGAAACUAUAAAAUAAGAAACAAUGGUGGCGAGGAGUCCAACCAAAGAAAUGUAGAAAAGGACAGACCGAAAAGAAGAGAGCCAAAGAUGAUUCUAUAAGUAAAACAAGAAGAAAUCCUUCUUUGAGAAUAGCCUAGAAAGGUUAUGAGCUACUUAUUUGCAAGCGUUGAAGGACAGUAAGCAUAUAUCGCAUAUAUCAGCUUUUAAUUUUACUUGAGAGAAUGAUCUUUGAAGUCUAAAGGUCUUAUUAUUAGUCACGCGGAGAUAUACAUGAGAGCAGAGCUAUAACAUAAAUUAAUGGUAAAAAGUGUAUAAAAGACCCCUCGAGCUUUAAGUGCCUAUGUAUCUAACAUACCGCUUUCUCAAGCCCUUUUUUUUAUUGAGACCUCUUAAUUAAUUUUUAAAAAUAAGUAAAUUUUUAGUCAAAAAAAAUUUGGAGAUUCUAUCAAGUUCAUUGAUGCAGAUUUCACCAAAUUAAAUUAUUUUAUUUUGUUCGAAAAUAGCCUAGGUAGUUAACAGUUCAUAACUAAUAGAACUAUUAAAUUUGAUAAAAUUUUUAAUUUAACUAAAAAAAAUUGGUAAGUAAAGGUGCAUUUCAGAAAUCGUUAAUUGUUGAGGGUCUCCGACAUUUUACUCACAAUUAAUUUAGCCCGUGGCCUUGGGAAAUGGUAAGUUUCGGUGGAAGCUUAAAAGCAAAGUACAAAGAGAGGCACGUACUCAACGGAAAACUUGGGUUUUAGAGCAGAGAGAGAGAGAGGAGAGAGACGCCGAGUACGUGUAUAUUAUAUCCUAUCGUUCGUCUAGCAAUCAUAGCCGUGUGAUCAUCCCUUAAAGGCUAAAAUUUAACCGUGUGAUCUAUUUGUAAAAUCUAGUUUCUUGCUAAUUAAUACGCUGUUAGGGAACUUGGGGUGAUCCUGGCUAGAAUUGUACGUACGUGGCCCAUGCGGAUCUUUUUUCCGUUUCUUGUGGAGGGGGGUGUAUUUUGUGGACACGUGGCAAUUUUUUAUGUGACAUGUGGAUGAGGAGAUCUAUGAUAUUUAACUGUGUCCAAGUGGGAGUGUUUGAGUAUUUAUUCAAGAAUAAUUAUUAUAAAUAAUUAGUUAUAAAUACAGUAUAUAUAUAUAUAUAGAUAGGGCUGCAAAGAGCGAGCCGGCUCGGUGUUCGACUCGCGUUCGAAGCUCGAUAUUUGGCGUCGCUCGAGCGCGAUUUCGAAAUUAAAUAAGCCGAGAGCUUGAACAAAAAAAAAAAAAGCUCGAAAUUCAUUUUCAAGCGAGCUUGGUAUUACUCGGCUCGUUCGAAUUAGGCUCGAAAAGCUCGAAAAGCUCGAAAUAUAUAUAUAUAUAUAAUAUAAUAAUAUAUAUAUAUAUAUAUAUAUAUAUAUAUAUAUAUAUAAUAUAUAUAUAUAUACAUACUAUGCUAUCGAAAGUAUAGAGGAUCUGGUGACUUUCGAUUUUUUGAUUCUUAGAUCAAUCCUUUAAUCAUUUCUUAUUUUUGAAUUAAUACUAUAUUACCUUGUAAGAACCACUCAAUCCUAGGAGUAUUAUUAAUUCCUAGGGGAUCGCAAUCACCCCAACCAUACAAUUCUUAAUCAAAGGGUCAAAAAUUCGAAAAUAUCAAUCUCUUUAUAUUUUCAAUAGCAUAGUAGUUCUACAUUAUAAUAUAUAUAUUAAAAAAUAUAAUAUAUAAUAUAAUAUAUUUUGAAUAUAUAUAGCGCGAGUGAAUAAUCUAAUUUAGUGAAAUUUUGGGCUAAUGUUGUUGGCCCAUAAAAAAAACCUAAUAGACAAAUAAAGAGCGAUAUUCACUAAAUUAUACAUUUUUCCUUUCUUUCUUUCUUUACAGAGCUAAAUUUCAAUAUGUUUAAUUCUCUCUUUCUCUUUUUCUGUCUCUCACCAUAAGUGGCCAAGCCGCGAAGCGCUUCCAGUUACCAAGUAACAGCUAUAUCCCGCCGUUGCCUACCUUGCUAUUUAAUUGUAUACUUGAGAAAAUAUACAGAUAUUGUUUAACGUUAAAAAUAUUAUUAUUAUAAAUUUUAAAUUUUAGUUAUAUAUGAUUGGAUAUUAAUCAAUAUUUAUUAUAUAAUUAUUUAUUUUUGACUGCAUAAAUGAAAAUGAAUAAUAUGGAGAGUUGAAGGCGGAAGAAAAGACAUUAUGAAACUGAAAUGAUUAGAUAUUAACUCAUAAAUUUUUUUUUUUUCAUAUUAUAAUACUAUAUUUUAUAUAAUUAUUUUGUACUUUGAACUAUUAGACAUAUUUUUGUAUCAAAUUAUACGAUAAUGUUCUAUACAAAUUAAACUAUUGAUCGUAUGAUGUUGAGGAAUUUCAACGGCUCGUUUAGGCUCGAGCCGCUCAACUUGAAAUUAGGCUCGCGUCGAGCUCGGCUCGAAUUAAUUUCAAAUCCAAAGCUUGGAGCUAACAUUUAGGCUCGAAAUUAAUUUCAAGCCGAAUUGAGCUGAGGUAAGCCGCUCAGCUCGGGCUCGUUUCCACGCCUACAUAUAGAACUAGGCUGGAAUACUAUUAAAUAGUACCAAGUUAUUGCUGCUAUUGAAUUUUUAGCCUUUGGAAUGAGAAAUAUGCAGUUAGAAUGAUGUGGGCCCUCUAGGGUUGAGUGGGGUGUUGAAUAGUAUAAUCUAACGGGUAAAAAAUAAUCAAGGAGUUAAUCUAACGCGCAGAAAACUUGAUAGCACCAAGUGUUUGGUGCUAUCGAUAGCAUAGCAGCCGGACUAUAAUAUUAUAUAUAUAUAUAUAUAUAUAUAGCUAGGCUACUAUACUAUCGUUAUACGGAGCGCUCCGUGCUACCAAGUUGUUUUCGAUGAUGUGGCUUCCAAAUCGACGAUCGGCUCCGUUAGAGUUAAUCUAGCACUAUUGAAAGUAUUUAGAAACUAAGAUUUCAUAAUUUUUCGAUAUCAUUUACCUAUCAAACAAGUAGUCUAAAAUUGAACGCGCUGAAAAUAAAAAUCUCAUUAAAAAUGAUGAUAAAAGAUUUAAAUCAAGAUCAGAUAUACUGAUCUUACUCUAAAUAGUGAAAAGAAUUUUUCUAUAAAAUUUUCAUCGCAUUUGGAUUGUUUUACAGCCGUUAAACUCACAAACACACCACAUCGGCCAUUAAAAUGUCAAUUUGAGAUCUUUUUGAUCACUAGUCAAAUGAUGCUCGAAAAAAUUUGGAAUUUAGUUUUCAAAUACUUUCAAUAGUGUAGAUCAAGUCUAACGGACCGAUCGUCGAUUUGAAAGCCGCAAUCAUCGAAAACACUUGUAGCCACGAGCGCUCCGUAGCUACAGAUAGCUAUAGUAGCCCGGGACUCUAAUACCUCUAUAUAUAUAUAUAUAUAUAUAUAAAGAGAGAAAGAGAGAGAGAGAGAGAGCGAGUCCGGCUGAGAUACUAUCGAUAGCACGAAGCAUUUGGUACUAUCAAGUUUUCUGCCGUUAGAUUUACCUCUUUUAUCAUUUUCAACGGUUCGAUUAUACUAUUCAACCAAUUACCCACUUAACCCUGAGGGGCCCACAUCAUCCUAACCACACAUCUUUUAAUCUAAGGACGGAAAACUUAAUAGCCCCAGUCAUUGGUGCUAUUAAUAGUAUUCCAGCCUAGUUAUAUAUAUAUAUAUAUAUAGUAGGGCUAGAAUACUUUUACAAGUAUCACCCAAGUGAUACUUGUGUGUUUUUAGCCAUUGGAUCUACUUUUUGAUUACUAAUAGUCCUUAGAUCAAACACUAUUCCACCUACCACCACCUACCACCACCUACCACCAUCAUCUCAACCUCACAUCUCUCCAUCCAAGGGCUAAAAACACACAAGUAUCACUUGGGUGAUACUUUUACAAGUAUUAUAGCUCUACUCUAUAUAUAUAUAUAUAUAUAUAUAUAUAUAGAGAGAGAGAGAGAGAGAGAGAGAGAGAGAGAGAGAGAGAGAGAGAGAGAGCUAUUAUGCUAUCGAAAAUAUAGAGAAUUUGAUAUUUCCGACUUGUUGGCCCUUAAAUCAGUCUCUUUAAUCAUUUCUAACCUUUGAAUUAGUACUAUUAUACCUUGUGGGGACCACUCAACCCUAGGGUACUACUCAACUCUAGAGGGGAGCGCAAUCAUCCCAACGUACAAUAUUUUAUUCAAGAGUCAAAAAAUCGAAAGUAUCAAAUCUUCUAUACUUCUGAUAGUAUAGUAGCUCUACAGCUCCACACACACACACACACACACACACACACACACACACACACAUAUAUAUAUAUAUAUAUAUAUAUAUAU